GACGUACAUAUGCUAUCCGGGCAAGGGAAGAAGCUUCUGCUCCAGAUGUGAUAGCUGAUCAAGAAUCCAAAGAAGAACGAGGAAAAGAAAAAGUUGCGGAAUAGUCCCUAAAUUUCAAUAUCUUCUACAAAUUAGCCGGAUUGACUUGAAGUGAAGUGGGUAGAUCGGAUCAACACAACAAAGCACACUAUCCAGAUCAAUUCGGUAGCUUUUGUUUUAUGUUUGAAGAUUUAUAUGGCAUGUAUAGAGUUUGAAUGAAUUGAAGUAAAGAUGUUAUAAACUAGUUAACAAUAUUUGUA
This is a long non-coding RNA of Gossypium arboreum, 299 nucleotides long. RefSeq lists it as uncharacterized. Lineage: Eukaryota; Viridiplantae; Streptophyta; Magnoliopsida; Malvales; Malvaceae. The record is from RefSeq and is a predicted model, not a curated record. The transcript has 3 exons.